CUAUCACACGAGCCUGCGUAAGAUUCCCUAUUUGGUGGGGUAAAAGCUCUCCAAUGCAACAAUCUUUGGCUGGUCUGAAAGGAUGAUCCUUCACACUGGAACUGAGACACGGUCCAUACUCCUUUGGAGGCAGCAGUGGGGAAUAUUGGACAAUGGGCGCAAGCCUGAUUCAGCAAUACCGCGUGUGUGAAGAAGGCCUAAGGGUUGUAAAGCACUUUCAAUUAGGAAGAAAAACUAAUGGUUAAUACCCAAUUAGUCUUGACGUUACUUUUAGAAGAAGCACCGGCUAACUCCGUGCCAGCAGCCGCGGUAAUACGGAAGGUGCAAGCGUUAAUCGGAAUUACUGGGCGUAAAGCGUGCGUAGGUGGUUUGUUAAGUCAGAUGUGAAAGCCCCGGGCUCAACCUGGGAACUGCAUUUGAAACUGGUAAACUAGAGUAUAGGAGAGGAAAGUGGAAUUUCUGGUGUAGCGGUGAAAUGCGUAGAUAUUAGAAGGAACAUCAAUGGCGAAGGCAGCUUUCUGGACUAAUACUGACACUGAGGUACGAAAGCGUGGGUAGCAAACAGGAUUAGAUACCCUGGUAGUCCACGCCGUAAACGAUGAUAACUAGUCGUUGAGGGGGAUUACCCUUUAGUGGCGAAGCUAACGCGUUAAGUUAUCCGCCUGGGGAGUACGGCCGCAAGGUUAAAACUCAAAGGAAUUGACGGGGACCCGCACAAGCGGUGGAGCAUGUGGUUU
RNAcentral lists this ribosomal RNA (737 nucleotides) under uncultured bacterium. RNAcentral's name for it is "bacterial SSU rRNA". It matches the Rfam family "Bacterial small subunit ribosomal RNA", at positions 218 to 947 of the family's 1533-position model. The record is from RNAcentral.